AAGGCAUACACCCCGUCCAAGGACAAGCUCCUUUGUGAGUGUUGGAGGGAUAUUGGGCAAUACCCCAAGGUCAGCGCUGAACAAAAGGCAUCAACCUUUUGGAUUCGUGUGCAUCGCGAGUACCAUGAACGCAAGAAGUUUGCGCCAUACCAAAUGCAAAGCAACCAUGGGUGGGUGUCCCUCUUGAAGCGAUGGAGGGUGAUACAACAAGAGUACAACAAGUUUUGUGCCACCCUUGAGACCAUCAAGGCACGCCCCAUGAGCGGCAUCGGCAUGCAAGAUAUGGUAUACAUGUGCCCCUCUUCGUAUCCGUUUCUGUUUUCGUUUAUGCUUGCAUGUCCAUUUUCCCAUAUGCUUGCAUGCUAUUCAUUUGUAGGCAUUCCAGGCUUUGGAGGCAUUCAAGGUCCAACAUGA
Molecule: ribosomal RNA, 414 nt
Filed under: Triticum aestivum (bread wheat)
Lineage: Eukaryota; Viridiplantae; Streptophyta; Magnoliopsida; Poales; Poaceae
Description: partial small subunit ribosomal RNA
Source: RNAcentral